GGGCUGCUCCUAGUACGAGAGGACCGGAGUGGACGCAUCACUGGUGUUCGGGUUGUCAUGCCAAUGGCACUGCCCGGUAGCUAAAUGCGGAAGAGAUAAGUGCUGAAAGCAUCUAAGCACGAAACUUGCCCCGAGAUGAGUUCUCCCUGACCCUUUAAGGGUCCUGAAGGAACGUUGAAGACGACGACGUUGAUAGGCCGGGUGUGUAAGCGCAGCGAUGCGUUGAGCUAACCGGUACUAAUGAACCGUGAGGCUUAACCUU
Molecule: ribosomal RNA, 262 nt
Filed under: Escherichia coli
Lineage: Bacteria; Pseudomonadati; Pseudomonadota; Gammaproteobacteria; Enterobacterales; Enterobacteriaceae
Description: partial 23S ribosomal RNA
Rfam family: Bacterial large subunit ribosomal RNA
Source: RNAcentral